UUAACUGUAUCUCUAAUAUGGUACAGGCGUGCAUUGGUUCAAAAGUUAUUACUAGUGAAUCCUUGCCAGCAAUUAGGAAGGAUGUCUUGGCCAAGUGCUAUGGUGGGGACAUUUCAAGAAAAAAGAAGUUGCUCAAGAAACAGGCUGAAGGGAAGAAAAGAAUGAAGGCAAUUGGCAAGGUAGAUGUACCUCAAGAAGAUUUCAUGGCUGUAUUGAAACUUGAAAAGGAGGUGUUGUAAUGAAUAAUAUAUUACUUCUUAACUUGUAAUGUUACUUCCUGUUAAUGCAAUAUGAAACUUAGCCAUGAAAAUAAACAAGUUUGUGCCCGUUUAUUUUGAAUCAUCUGUUUAUUUUCCCUUUGAGGCUGUUAUGUUGCAAA
Manihot esculenta (cassava) is the source of this 379-nucleotide long non-coding RNA. RefSeq lists it as uncharacterized. The transcript is spliced from 3 exons. Lineage: Eukaryota; Viridiplantae; Streptophyta; Magnoliopsida; Malpighiales; Euphorbiaceae. The record is from RefSeq and is a predicted model, not a curated record.